UUCAAACAAAGGUAGGGAAGGCAAAGGUAAAGGAAAAGAGAACCAAAGAUGGUGGACAAAACCGUUAGGGGAAGCGCAAGGAAAAGGCCACGGAUAUCUCAAAGAAGAAAGGUGACGGAAAUGGCAAGAACCCAAAGGUGUAUUUACCUCCAGCUUGCUACACUUUAUCAAAGGAAGAAAAACGAAGGUUUUGUGCUUGUUUUUAUGACAUUAAUCUUUGGGUUCUCGUCAAACAUGAAAAAGUUUGUUUCCUUAAAUGGAGAAUUGAAGUUGACAAGUAUGAAAUCCCAUGAUUGUCACAUGAUGAUGCAAGUAUUCCUACCGAUUGCAAUUCGUGGUAUUUUACUAAAGCACGUGAGAGAAGUUACACUACUACAAAAAUGGGAAAAGGGAUCUAUAAUAAAAGACUUGUUGAUUAAUACAACGGGUCUCUUUAAUAUAAAAGAUCUGAUACUAGAGAUAACGGGUUUCUUAUAUAUCAUAGGGCCCACCAUUAGUUUUGAAAAUAGGGAAGGAAAAAAAAUAAAAGACCCAUAGUUGACUUAACGGGUCUCUUAUAUAUGUAAGGGCCCACUAAUUAAGCAACUUUUAUUAUAUUUGAGUUAACAGCAAAACCCUAUUUCUUUCACUUGCAUUUUCCAUCACCACACCCCCCAUUCACGCCGCUCUCUCCUCUCAUCUCCACUCCUAUCAACUUCUACUUCUCCUGGAGCAAAAACACACUAUUGCCACCUCCUUCCUAACGCCGAUGUCGCUUCCUCCUUCUCCUCAAUGCCCGCGUCGCUACCUCCUCCUCCUCCUCCUCCUCCUCAAUAUCGGUGUCGUCUUCUCUUUCUACUUAACGUCGUCGUUGCUACCUCCUUAUUUUAUUUCAUCAUCGUCAAUAAAACCUUAAUUUAAGGCUUUCAAGAACAAUUUUGACCAUGCAAACUCCAGAUCUGGAGUUUUGAUGGUUAAUAUGGCCAAAUAAUCAAAAUUGAAGUGUUUAAAAAGAUGUCGAUAAUAACGAAGCUAAAAGCUUGCUUCCGGAAAUUACAAGUUAGUUUCAGCGAGGAAGUGAUUGAUGAUUUCUACAAGGCAUGUGCUAUAAAUGAGGACAUGGGUCUACUGGAUGUCAUCAAAAAACACAAAAACUCCCAAAUACGGAGGUAGAAAAUGGAGUACUGAAGUCGUCUUGAUUUAAUUGUAAAUAUAAAUUUAUUUUUAAUAAAUUUGACCAAUUUUUAUUGUUGGGAUUUUACGUUUGUUGAUUUUUUUUUAUCUCAUAAAUUUAAUUUAGUUCAUUGCUAUUUCGUAUUAUUGAUGUUACGUACAGAUUAAGUAUACAAAUUACAAACUCCACUAUAUAAUUUAGCUCAUUAAUUCUGCCAAUUUGUAUAGCGCAUUAAAACAAAAAUAAUUCAAAUGCAAAUCUCUAAAA
Chenopodium quinoa (quinoa) is the source of this 1420-nucleotide long non-coding RNA. RefSeq lists it as uncharacterized. The transcript is spliced from 3 exons. Lineage: Eukaryota; Viridiplantae; Streptophyta; Magnoliopsida; Caryophyllales; Amaranthaceae. The record is from RefSeq and is a predicted model, not a curated record.